UAGAGACCCGCAGGAAUGGGCCUUGGCAGCCCAAUCUGCAGCAGAGUUGGCCUCGCGACGGCAAAACCUAAUCUGUAGACGAGAGAAGUAGGGAAGGAUGGCGGUCACUUCAGCAAGCAUCAAUCUAGCCUCCCAUGGCGUCUUCUGUUGGUCAGUCACAGCCUCUACCAACGUGAGGCAAUCCGUUUCGAUGAUCAGGGGAUCGCCAGACUUGCCGAUCCGCAAAAGAUGGCGCAUAGCCGUGUUCAGAGCUUGAAUCUCGACCUGCAAGGUCAAGGAUGCAGUGACUCCACUGCCCCGUCUAUGUUGAUCUUGAGCACACCAGGGUUAGGGGGCCGCCAUAGAGAACCUGGAUCUGAAGGAGUCCGCGUUGAUCCUAUUGCAUUGGAAGAGAGUUGCUGUGCUAAUCGAGAUUAGUUGAAGGCCGCUUCAACUACAAAGGAGGGAUCGAGUCUUUGGCGACUAGAGAUGAACCUGUUUCGUGCUUUCCAUAUUUGCCAGAGAAUUGCAGCAACAACCGCUAUACUUGGGUGUACAUCGGUUUAUGACACGUAGCCAACAAGGGAAACUUGUUGAGCUUGAUCUAGAAAUCGAGUGUACAUUUAAAAGGCGACUGAGAGAACAGAGAAAUCACGUUAAGAAGAUGGCAGACGGUAAUAAUGAAAAUCCAUGUAGACUCUUAAGAGAUUAUGCUGCGCCAACAGUUCAAGGCACCACAUCAAGUAUGAGAAGACCUGCAAUUCAAGCAAACAACUUUGAGAUCAAGC
Molecule: long non-coding RNA, 767 nt
Organism: Eucalyptus grandis
Lineage: Eukaryota; Viridiplantae; Streptophyta; Magnoliopsida; Myrtales; Myrtaceae
Exons: 3
Source: RefSeq, a predicted model, not a curated record